AAAAGAGCUUCACGAGCGACGGGCGUCUUUUUAAAGAUGGCUUCCCGCUCGUGCGUUUCUGGAUGUGGUCGUUUCCUGCCUCCAUCUGAUGGUCAUGAUCACUGCCUCUCGUGCUUGGGCUUACAGCAUGCUGAAGCAGCGCUCAUGGAGGAGUCAUGUUCUCAGUGCGGGAACAUGACCAUCGCGACGUUGCGGUCUAGAUACCUCCUCAUUAAACGGGGGGGUAUCCCCCUUGCCAUGCCCCGCUCUAGCUCCUCUGGUUCUCGGAGGGCUACUUCGGUUCAUGGUCAGGGAGACCUGAGGGUUACAGUGAGAGCUGCCCCGUCGAGUACGUCUCCGCGGGCCUCUCAUUCCUCAAGCAUGUCGCACCACCUGGUGCUUCCGGACGAGUGUGCUGGGUCCUCGGACAGGGCGGGGUCCAGCAUCUUGUGCGGGGCACAGGCAGAGGACAGGAUGUCGAUCGCUGCAUCGGAGGGCGAGCUAAGCUCUGGAGAUGAGGAUUCGGCUGCGCUGCCACCGUCAGGUAGAGUGGCGUUGCCCGAGUCAGAUCCAGAGCUGACCGCUAUGCUUUCCCGGGCCGCUGAGAGCGUCGGGCUGCACUGGAGGCCUCCGCCUUCUCCCGAACGCUCGAGGCUGGAUGAUUGGUUCCUGGGGGCGCAGGCCGGGCGUCGGCAGCCACCUCCGGUUCCAUUCUUCCCGGAAGUGCAUGAGGAGGUUACAAAGUCUUGGAAGGCACCUUUUUCUGCCCGAAACAGACUUGGUGCCCCCUCCGUCCUCACCACCCUCGACGGGGGGGCGGCCCAAGGGUAUGUGGACAUCCCUCCGGUCGAGCGCGCGAUUGCCAUGCAGCUCUGCCCGCAAAGCGCCGCCGCCUGGAGAGGUAGUCCACGCCUUCCGUCCAGGGCCUGUAAGUUCUCAUCCGCUCUGACGGCUAAGGCUUACAGUGCCGCUGGACAGGCCGCUUCCGCCCUGCACGCCAUGGCCCUCCUGCAAGUCCACCAGGCCAAGGCGUUGAAGCAGUUGCACGAGGGUGGUGCUGACUCAGGUGUGCUGCAGGAACUGCGCAUGGCGACGGAC
Sinocyclocheilus grahami is the source of this 1077-nucleotide long non-coding RNA. The record is from Ensembl. NCBI's taxonomy places the organism in Eukaryota, Metazoa, Chordata, Actinopteri, Cypriniformes, Cyprinidae.